AGAGGACACAUGGUGAGCACAU
RNAcentral lists this microRNA (22 nucleotides) under Monodelphis domestica (gray short-tailed opossum). RNAcentral describes it as "mdo-miR-12407-3p". Lineage: Eukaryota; Metazoa; Chordata; Mammalia; Didelphimorphia; Didelphidae. The record is from miRBase by way of RNAcentral.